RNAcentral lists this ribosomal RNA (510 nucleotides) under uncultured bacterium. RNAcentral describes it as "partial 16S ribosomal RNA". It matches the Rfam family "Bacterial small subunit ribosomal RNA", at positions 28 to 507 of the family's 1533-position model. The record is from RNAcentral.
GACGAACGCUGGCGGCGUGCUUAACACAUGCAAGUCGAACGAAGAGCGAUGGAAGCUUGCUUCUAUCAAUCUUAGUGGCGAACGGGUGAGUAACGCGUAAUCAACCUGCCCUUCAGAGGGGGACAACAGUUGGAAACGACUGCUAAUACCGCAUACGAUCUAAUCUCGGCAUCGAGGAUAGAUGAAAGGUGGCCUCUACAUGUAAGCUAUCACUGAAGGAGGGGAGUGCGUCUGAUUAGCUAGUUGGAGGGGUAACGGCCCACCAAGGCGAUGAUCAGUAGCCGGUCUGAGAGGAUGAACGGCCACAUUGGGACUGAGACACGGCCCAGACUCCUACGGGAGGCAGCAGUGGGGAAUCUUCCGCAAUGGACGAAAGUCUGACGGAGCAACGCCGCGUGAGCGAUGACGGCCUUCGGGUUGUAAAGCUCUGUUAAUCGGGACGAAAGGCCUUCUUGCGAAUAGUGAGAAGGAUUGACGGUACCGGAAUAGAAAGCCACGGCUAACUACGUG